GCCAGACCUGCUGGCCACCUCCAGCGAUUUCCUCCGCGUGUGGCGCAUCUCGGGGGAUGAGGACAACUCAGACUCCUCGUCGUCAGUGGAGCUCAAGUCCCUCCUCAACGGCAACAAGAACUCCGAGUUCUGCGGGCCCAUCACCUCCUUCGACUGGAACGAGGCGGAGCCGAAGCGCAUCGGCACCUCCUCCAUCGACACCACGUGCACCAUCUGGGACAUCGAGCGCGAGGCCGUAGACACCCAGCUCAUCGCCCACGACAAGGAGGUGUACGACAUCGCAUGGGGCGGCGUCGGUGUAUUCGCCUCCGUCUCGGCGGACGGCUCCGUGAGAGUGUUUGACCUGCGCGACAAGGAGCACUCCACCAUCAUUUACGAGAGC
Molecule: long non-coding RNA, 382 nt
Filed under: Malus domestica (apple)
Lineage: Eukaryota; Viridiplantae; Streptophyta; Magnoliopsida; Rosales; Rosaceae
Description: long non-coding RNA (MDOM_LNC017127)
Source: RNAcentral